AGGGCGGCAGACUAACACAUGCAAGUCGAGCGAGAUCUUCGGAUCUAGCGGCGGACGGGUGAGUAACGCGUGGGAACGUACCCUCUUCUGCGGGAUAGCCACUGGAAACGGUGAGUAAUACCGCAUACGCCCUUCGGGGGAAAGAUUUAUCGGAGGAGGAUCGGCCCGCGUUGGAUUAGGUAGUUGGUGGGGUAAUGGCCUACCAAGCCUACGAUCCAUAGCUGGUUUUAGAGGAUGAUCAGCCACACUGGGACUGAGACACGGCCCAGACUCCUACGGGAGGCAGCAGUGGGGAAUCUUAGACAAUGGGCGCAAGCCUGAUCUAGCCAUGCCGCGUGAGUGACGAAGGCCUUAGGGUCGUAAAGCUCUUUCGCCUGUGAUGAUAAUGACAGUAGCAGGUAAAGAAACCCCGGCUAACUCCGUGCCAGCAGCCGCGGUAAUACGGAGGGGGUUAGCGUUGUUCGGAAUUACUGGGCGUAAAGCGCACGUAGGCGGAUUGGAAAGUAUGGGGUGAAAUCCCAGGGCUCAACCCUGGAACGGCCUCAUAAACUUCCAGUCUGGAGUUCGAGAGAGGUGAGUGGAAUUCCGAGUGUAGAGGUGAAAUUCGUAGAUAUUCGGAGGAACACCAGUGGCGAAGGCGGCUCACUGGCUCGAUACUGACGCUGAGGUGCGAAAGUGUGGGGAGCAAACAGGAUUAGAUACCCUGGUAG
RNAcentral lists this ribosomal RNA (710 nucleotides) under Roseovarius sp. Its description in RNAcentral is "bacterial SSU rRNA". It matches the Rfam family "Bacterial small subunit ribosomal RNA", at positions 38 to 793 of the family's 1533-position model. The record is from RNAcentral. Lineage: Bacteria; Pseudomonadati; Pseudomonadota; Alphaproteobacteria; Rhodobacterales; Roseobacteraceae.